GACGAACGCUGGCGGCGUGCCUAAUACAUGCAAGUUGAGCGCUGAAGGUUGGUACUUGUACCAACUGGAUGAGCAGCGAACGGGUGAGUAACGCGUGGGUAAUCUGCCUUUUAGCGGGGGACAACAUUUGGAAACGAAUGCUAAUACCGCAUAAAAACUUUAAACACAAGUUUUAAGUUUGAAAGAUGCAAUUGCAUCACUCAAAGAUGAUCCCGCGUUGUAUUAGCUAGUUGGUGAGGUAAAGGCUCACCAAGGCGAUGAUACAUAGCCGACCUGAGAGGGUGAUCCGCCACAAUGGGACUGGGACACGGCCCAAACUCCUAAGGGAGGGAGCAGUAGGGAAUCUUCGGCAAUGGACGAAAGUCUGACCGAGCAACGCCGCGGGAGUGAAGAAGGUUUUCGGAUCGUAAAACUCUGUUGGUAGAGAAGAACGUUGGGGAGAGUGGAAAGCUCAUCAAGUGACGGUAACUACCCAGAAAGGGACGGCUAACUACGUG
RNAcentral lists this ribosomal RNA (497 nucleotides) under uncultured bacterium. RNAcentral's name for it is "partial 16S ribosomal RNA". It matches the Rfam family "Bacterial small subunit ribosomal RNA", at positions 28 to 507 of the family's 1533-position model. The record is from RNAcentral.